Molecule: ribosomal RNA, 253 nt
Filed under: uncultured bacterium
Lineage: Bacteria
Description: partial 16S ribosomal RNA
Rfam family: Bacterial small subunit ribosomal RNA
Source: RNAcentral
UACGUAGGGGGCAAGCGUUGUCCGGAUUUAUUGGGCGUAAAGAGCGUGUAGGCGGCCAGGUAGGUCAGCUGUGAAAACUCGAGGCUCAACCUCGAGACGCCGGUUGAAACCAUCUGGCUAGAGUCCGGAAGAGGAGAGUGGAAUUCCUGGUGUAGCGGUGAAAUGCGCAGAUAUCAGGAAGAACACCCGUGGCUAAGGCGGCUCUCUGGGCCUUACCUGACGCUGAGGAGCGAAAGCGUGGGUAGCGAACAGG